This 845-nucleotide long non-coding RNA is filed under the name Gossypium barbadense (sea-island cotton). RNAcentral describes it as "long non-coding RNA (GBAR_LNC021195)". The record is from RNAcentral. Lineage: Eukaryota; Viridiplantae; Streptophyta; Magnoliopsida; Malvales; Malvaceae.
ACUCUCUCUUCCCUCUCUCCCUUUUCGGCUGGGGGUCCGGUCAUCGGCCACCACGCCGGUCGUCGGCCGCCAUCGACGGCGUCGCCAUCCGCAAUGCCGAGAAAACCAAAAUGCCCCCUUUUGCUCCUCUUUUCAGGUGUAGCCCAGAUUUGGGGUUAAAAUUACCCAAAAGACCCUCCAAGUUCUGUAAAACGAAGAGAAAAGAGAAUGACUUUUUGGUUUCCGUCACCCCCGAUAGAGAAACGCCCUCCGGCGAUGCGGUCACGGGGCGGCUCCGGUAAGCCUCUGCUUCUUUUUGUUUAUUAUUUAGUAUAAAAGGAAAAAAAUAAAAGAGAAAAAAAUCGAACAAGAAAUUUAAAAAAAUCACCUCUGAGAUCUAUUUUCUGUUUUCUGUUUUUUUUAUUAAUCUUCGUAAAAAAUUACAAAGGGUGAAAUCUAGGCUUUUAUAGUCGAUCAAAUUUAGUCCAUUAUUGCUCAUGCUUCUAUUCUCUGCUGUUGCAUUUAAUUUUUGCAGGUGUCAGACAAGCGUGACGAUGGCGUGUAGCGGCGGAAGCAGGUGUGAGGAGGCUGGCGGCUGGGGUUAAAAGACCUAGGUGCGGUAGUGGCAACAACAGCUAGGGUUUCCUGCUACAAUUUUUUUUAAUUUUGUUGGGCUUUGGGUUUGGGUUUAAUUGGGCUUGGGGUUAUUUUAUUUGUAAUGGACUGUGGAUUUUUUUGGUUUACUUUGGGCUCCAGGCAAAAUUUGGGCCCUACAAUAUGUGUUUGAAAGGUGUUUGGGGCUAUUGAAUGUAUGCACAAUUGGAGUAGAUGAUUAGGUAAAUUUUGGCCUUGAAAGGGCUUGUUUG